UUAUAAUGAUGGCGGAUAGCUGAAAGGAACCCCCAAGUCAAAUGGAAAGGGCAUUCACCAAACAAUACACCACUUACCAAAUCAAUCUUCUUUCCAUCACAGUUCUAAGGAACUUACUUUUUGAGUCCAUGAAUUCAAUCCGACCAAAAUGAAAACUUCAACUACACUAACUAAUCAAAUUAAUAGAAUCCAAAUUCUUUUUGAAAACGAAACAAAUCAAGUCAUUCUCAUGAUAUGGGUGAUCACCAUCAGAUUUUAACAGUGGAUGCGGUUUUGGUUAUGAUGUUCCAAACCAUAGUUCUGCCCUUCAUGGUGGUUGUUUGGGCAGUCAUAGGUGUACCUGCAGAAUCAUAAAGUACGAAUUCCAAACCUAAAAUGUUGUGAGAACCGGUCGUCGAAGCAUCAAUUUUUUUAACCCAUUCAGGCUCAUUCUGCGUGCAUGGCUGCUAGUUGAUCAGAAAAAGAAAUGCAGUGUUCGAAUCUUCCGACUGCUUUCAAAGCAUUCCCUCUUGCAAGAUUGUUGAUAAUUAGACAACGAACCUGUACUCAAGGAAGCUUUUGAGCAACACGGAGAAAUCAUUGAAGUUAAGGUUAUAUGUGAUCAUCGGAGUGGGGAAUCAAAAGGGUAUGGUUUGUGCAGUUCCUGUCUGAAAAGUCAGCUAGCACAGCUUUAGAAGAAUUGAGCGGUCAGUUAUUAGAUGGUAGAAACAUACGCGUAUUCUACGCAAGCAAAGAUGGAUGACAGAAACUGUGACAUACAAGGUUUGCUGACUUAAUGAUUGAAUGUGCUAUCUGAGCUCAAAUUUAGAUGAAAAUGGUCAUCCAAGUAUCAGGAAGUUUCACCUCUGAUAGGAGAUAGAAUAAGAAAAAUCCAGACUUCAGUCUUUCAAUAAAAACGUUGUAGAAUCUUCGUACGAUGUCGGAUUUUCGCGAUCUACCCAUGUUUUUUCAUGCCCAGGAGA
This is a long non-coding RNA of Papaver somniferum (opium poppy), 962 nucleotides long. RefSeq lists it as uncharacterized. The record is from RefSeq and is a predicted model, not a curated record. The transcript has 5 exons. Lineage: Eukaryota; Viridiplantae; Streptophyta; Magnoliopsida; Ranunculales; Papaveraceae.